CCUACGGGUGGCUGCAGUGGGGAAUAUUGGACAAUGGGCGAAAGCCUGAUCCAGCCAUGCCGCGUGUGUGAAGAAGGCCUUCGGGUUGUAAAGCACUUUCAGUGGGGAAGAAAGCCUUGGGGCUAAUACCCUCGAGGAAGGACAUCACCCACAGAAGAAGCACCGGCUAACUCCGUGCCAGCAGCCGCGGUAAUACGGAGGGUGCGAGCGUUAAUCGGAAUUACUGGGCGUAAAGCGCGCGUAGGCGGUCUGAUAAGCCGGUUGCGAAAGCCCCGGGCUCAACCUGGGAACGGCAUCCGGAACUGUCAGGCUAGAGUGCAGGAGAGGAAGGUAGAAUUCCCGGUGUAGCGGUGAAAUGCGUAGAGAUCGGGAGGAAUACCAGUGGCGAAGGCGGCCUUCUGGACUGACACUGACGCUGAGGUGCGAAAGCGUGGGUAGCAAACAGGAUUAGAUACCCGUGUAGUC
Molecule: ribosomal RNA, 465 nt
Filed under: Vreelandella stevensii
Lineage: Bacteria; Pseudomonadati; Pseudomonadota; Gammaproteobacteria; Oceanospirillales; Halomonadaceae
Description: partial 16S ribosomal RNA
Rfam family: Bacterial small subunit ribosomal RNA
Source: RNAcentral